RNAcentral lists this ribosomal RNA (502 nucleotides) under uncultured bacterium. RNAcentral describes it as "partial 16S ribosomal RNA". It matches the Rfam family "Bacterial small subunit ribosomal RNA", at positions 28 to 507 of the family's 1533-position model. The record is from RNAcentral.
GACGAACGCUGGCGGCGUGCCUAAUACAUGCAAGUCGAACGAACCGCGACUAAGUGCUUGCACUAAGUCAAGGUGAGUGGCGAGCGGGUGAGUAACACGUGGGUAACCUACCUCAUAGUGGGGGAUAACAGUCGGAAACGACUGCUAAUACCGCAUAGGACAUAGGAUCACAUGAUCCAGUGAGGAAAGGUGGCGCAAGCUAUCGCUAAGAGAUGGACCCGCGGUGCAUUAGCUAGUUGGUAGGGUAAAGGCCUACCAAGGCGAUGAUGCAUAGCCGACCUGAGAGGGUGAUCGGCCACAUUGGGACUGAGACACGGCCCAAACUCCUACGGGAGGCAGCAGUAGGGAAUCUUCCGCAAUGGACGCAAGUCUGACGGAGCAACGCCGCGUGAGUGAAGAAGGUCUUCGGAUCGUAAAGCUCUGUUGUUAGAGAAGAACAGCGCAUAGAGUAACUGCUAUGCGUGUGACGGUAUCUAACCAGAAAGCCACGGCUAACUAUGUG